This is a long non-coding RNA of Lathyrus oleraceus (garden pea), 209 nucleotides long. RefSeq lists it as uncharacterized. The record is from RefSeq and is a predicted model, not a curated record. Lineage: Eukaryota; Viridiplantae; Streptophyta; Magnoliopsida; Fabales; Fabaceae. The transcript is spliced from 3 exons.
GCGAGAUGCAAUAGGAUCAUUUGUUGCAUGGCCCUUGGAUCUCAUUUUCAUUGAUGAUGAGACGCCUACAAAACCCGCAUCUAAGGAUAAAGGGAUUUUGCGGCACAACGAGUCUGUUGCAUCACAAAAAGAGGUAUUUGCUCAAGGGUCACAACAACUGAGCCAGAAAAUUGGUAGUCGACAGAAAAACAAAAGGGAUCUUCCAGUGA